AACAGUCUAGUUGUUGGAGCUGUUGAGUCGUGUUUAACCUGUGUGUGUUUCCUUUUCAUUUAUUUGGUACCUCAGAAGCUGCUUCAAUCUCAGGAAGUGUUGAUGAUGUCAUAGACGAUGAUCUGCUCGGAGACCAAAGAGACAAAUAAAGCACUGACCAUCCAUUCCUCCGCUUUGGUCCUGUUGAGAGAAAGAUGUUUCUUUGUCCGACUGAAACUCAACCGGAUAAAUCCUCGUGGUGGACCAGCAUCGGUUUGAGCGUGCCUCGCUUCUUUCCAGCCAUUUUCACAUCUUUGUUUUGCCUUUACAACAUCUCUUGUACCCAGUGCUGCUUUGUUUAAAUGUGAUGUUAUUAUAUUUUGUGUUCAUAAAAUUAAAUCGCCUACAAAAAAAUGGAAACAAAAAGAGAAUGUCAGUAUUAUUGAAAAACACUGUGACAUUAGUUGGUUACAGCCGGGAGACAACGGGUUUGUCCUUUAAAAAAUUGUAUUUUUCUCUCUAAUUGUAUGCUAAUUUAAGUUGAAUAUAUCAGAAUUCAGAAGUUAUAAUAUUUUGAAAAUGAAAAUAUAAUUAUUGAAUGUGGUUCUCAGAUUGUGUUCAGUGUACAAAUAUGGCAUUUGUUGUGUUAUAAGUUGAAGAACUUUUCUUUUUUUCUUCAGUAUGUUAUAUUGCCAUAUAUAACAAUAAAGACUCUAUUUUAUUUCA
Molecule: long non-coding RNA, 705 nt
Organism: Cololabis saira (Pacific saury)
Lineage: Eukaryota; Metazoa; Chordata; Actinopteri; Beloniformes; Belonidae
Exons: 2
Source: RefSeq, a predicted model, not a curated record